CUGAAGCUCAGCCUUGCUCCAGUGCCUCCAGGGAUCUGCGUCCAGGUGGAAAGGAGAGUUUGUGGGAAAAGUCACACUGGUGUAGGCAACUUAAAACUUGAUUUCCAGUUCAGGAUGGCAGAGUAGAAGGAUGUACACUCAUCUCCUGUGAGAGCACCAAAAUUGCAACUAGCUGUUGAACGACCAUCAACAGAACACUGGAACCCACCAAAAACAGGGAAAAAAGAGUACAAAACUCACUUUGGAACAACAAAUGAUGUUUUCAGAUGAUCAAGAGAAAGAUCUACAACCAAGUGAGAAAAAAACUGAAGUUGGCGCUCGGAAACCUCAUCAGGAAGUGUGGAUUAACACACUCUUGAGAGAUGUCCCUCUCACCCCAGCAUGCAAGGCUCUUGGAGUCAGAUGGUGGAUAUCCAGAUGUAAGAAAUCCGAGGCCCAGACCAAUCAGCUGAAUUGUCCCACAGGAAGUUGGUGGUAGAAGACCUAGAAGACCACGGCCUAGUGCUGGACUCCUCACCCAGGGCUUUUGUCAAAAGGUUAAAAACUCCGGGAGUUGAAGUGAAUUGCUCAGGGUCACAAAUCUAGUUAAGCAGCUGGACAUGGAGCCAGCAGACCUGUUUCCUAAUGACCAGGGCAGGACUCUUUCAUGAUACCCUCUCAUCUGUGUUUCGUGGUAAAUCCUGCAUCAAGUAGGACUAUGUAGACCAGGCCCCUGUCAAGACCCAAGACCCACUGUUCCUCUGCACUCUGUUCACACUUGACUCAGAGCAGGUCAAACACUCUGGUUCCAAUUGUUUUUUAUUCCUGAAGAGUGAAGACCCAGUCCUACUCACUUUGUGUCCUUGCACCUUACUGAAUAGCUUGGUGGCUAUAGGUGCUCAACAAGUGUUAAGUAGAAUGAAUGAAUAAUGAAUGAUUUAAAUAGAGUGAAUAGAUGAAUGACAAAAGCAUCACAGGAAGGCACAGAGGAGGGUGUUUAUGCAAUCAACUCUACUACCACAAGCAGGCUUAAUAAAAUAAAAGGUACAAUUACACAACUACUUUAGAGCAUUAAACGAAGCUUCUGACUUGAUACUUUUCAUGAAAUAGGCUUUACUAGGCAGGGCACGUUACCCAAUAUUUUACCAUUCAAAUCACAAGCAGGUAUU
Molecule: long non-coding RNA, 1148 nt
Organism: Dama dama (fallow deer)
Lineage: Eukaryota; Metazoa; Chordata; Mammalia; Artiodactyla; Cervidae
Exons: 5
Source: RefSeq, a predicted model, not a curated record